UACAGCCAUGCCAGGUUGAAACACCUGUUCUCAUACAAUCACUGAAGUUAAGCAAUAUUGAGCAUGGUCAGUACCUAGAUAGGUGACUGCUUGGGUAUACCAGGUGCUGUCAG
Non-coding RNA from Acanthosepion pharaonis, 113 nucleotides. The record is from the annotation of a GenBank genome assembly. NCBI's taxonomy places the organism in Eukaryota, Metazoa, Mollusca, Cephalopoda, Sepiida, Sepiidae.